UACGUAGGGAGCAAGCGUUGUCCGGAUUUACUGGGUGUAAAGGGUGCGCAGGCGGAUUAGUAAGUCAGGGGUGAAAUCUCACGGCUCAACCGUGAAAUUGCCUUUGAUACUGCUAAUCUUGAGUUCGGGAGAGGUCGAUGGAAUUCCAGGUGUAGCGGUGAAAUGCGUAGAUAUCUGGAAGAACACCAGUAGCGAAGGCAAUCCCCUGGGCCUGCACUGACGCUCAUGCACGAAAGCGUGGGGAGCAAACAGGAUUAGAAACCCU
RNAcentral lists this ribosomal RNA (265 nucleotides) under uncultured bacterium. Its description in RNAcentral is "partial 16S ribosomal RNA". It matches the Rfam family "Bacterial small subunit ribosomal RNA", at positions 524 to 788 of the family's 1533-position model. The record is from RNAcentral.